GAUGAACGCUGGCGGCGUGCCUAAUACAUGCAAGUCGAGCGGACAGACGAGGAGCUUGCUCCUCUGACGUUAGCGGCGGACGGGUGAGUAACACGUGGAUAACCUACCUAUAAGACUGGGAUAACUUCGGGAAACCGGAGCUAAUACCGGAUAAUAUAUUGAACCGCAUGGUUCAAUAGUGAAAGACGGUUUUGCUGUCACUUAUAGAUGGAUCCGCGCCGCAUUAGCUAGUUGGUAAGGUAACGGCUUACCAAGGCAACGAUGCGUAGCCGACCUGAGAGGGUGAUCGGCCACACUGGAACUGAGGGACGGUCCAGACUCCUACGGGAGGCAGCAGUAGGGAAUUUUCCGCAAUGGGCGAAAGCCUGACGGAGCAACGCCGCGUGAGUGAUGAAGGUCUUCGGAUCGUAAAACUCUGUUAUUAGGGAAGAACAAAUGUGUAAGUAACUAUGCACGUCUUGACGGUACCUAAUCAGAAAGCCACGGCUAACUACGUG
Molecule: ribosomal RNA, 497 nt
Filed under: uncultured bacterium
Lineage: Bacteria
Description: partial 16S ribosomal RNA
Rfam family: Bacterial small subunit ribosomal RNA
Source: RNAcentral